This 1330-nucleotide ribosomal RNA is filed under the name uncultured bacterium. RNAcentral's name for it is "bacterial SSU rRNA". It matches the Rfam family "Bacterial small subunit ribosomal RNA", at positions 28 to 1381 of the family's 1533-position model. The record is from RNAcentral.
GACGAACGCUGGCGGCGUGCUUAACACAUGCAAGUCGAACGGACCCUUUGGGGUUAGUGGCGAACGGGUGAGUAACACGUGGGUGAUCUGCCCUGCACUUUGGGAUAAGCCUGGGAAACUGGGUCUAAUACCGGAUAGGACUACGCACUGCAUGGUGUGUGGUGGAAAGCUUUUGCGGUGUGGGAUGGGCCCGCGGCCUAUCAGCUUGUUGGUGGGGUGAUGGCCUACCAAGGCGACGACGGGUAGCCGGCCUGAGAGGGUGACCGGCCACACUGGGACUGAGAUACGGCCCAGACUCCUACGGGAGGCAGCAGUGGGGAAUAUUGCACAAUGGGCGCAAGCCUGAUGCAGCGACGCCGCGUGAGGGAUGACGGCCUUCGGGUUGUAAACCUCUUUCGCCAGGGACGAAGCGCAAGUGACGGUACCUGGAGAGGAAGGACCGGCCAACUACGUGCCAGCAGCCGCGGUAAUACGUAGGGUCCGAGCGUUGUCCGGAAUUACUGGGCGUAAAGAGCUCGUAGGUGGUUUGUCGCGUUGUUCGUGAAAACUCACAGCUUAACUGUGGGCGUGCGGGCGAUACGGGCAGACUGGAGUACUGCAGGGGAGACUGGAAUUCCUGGUGUAGCGGUGGAAUGCGCAGAUAUCAGGAGGAACACCGGUGGCGAAGGCGGGUCUCUGGGCAGUAACUGACGCUGAGGAGCGAAAGCGUGGGGAGCGAACAGGAUUAGAUACCCUGGUAGUCCACGCCGUAAACGGUGGGUACUAGGUGUGGGUCUCCUUCCUUGGGAUCCGUGCCGUAGCUAACGCAUUAAGUACCCCGCCUGGGGAGUACGGCCGCAAGGCUAAAACUCAAAGGAAUUGACGGGGGCCCGCACAAGCGGCGGAGCAUGUGGAUUAAUUCGAUGCAACGCGAAGAACCUUACCUGGGUUUGACAUGCACAGGACGCCGGCAGAGAUGUCGGUUCCCUUGUGGCCUGUGUGCAGGUGGUGCAUGGCUGUCGUCAGCUCGUGUCGUGAGAUGUUGGGUUAAGUCCCGCAACGAGCGCAACCCUUGUCUCAUGUUGCCAGCACGUUAUGGUGGGGACUCGUGAGAGACUGCCGGGGUCAACUCGGAGGAAGGUGGGGAUGACGUCAAGUCAUCAUGCCCCUUAUGUCCAGGGCUUCACACAUGCUACAAUGGCCGGUACAAAGGGCUGCGAUGCCGUGAGGUGGAGCGAAUCCUUUCAAAGCCGGUCUCAGUUCGGAUCGGGGUCUGCAACUCGACCCCGUGAAGUCGGAGUCGCUAGUAAUCGCAGAUCAGCAACGCUGCGGUGAAUACGUUCCCGGGCCU